CCUACGGGCGGCAGCAGUGGGGAAUAUUGGACAAUGGGCGAAAGCCUGAUCCAGCCAUGCCGCGUGUGUGAAGAAGGCCUUCGGGUUGUAAAGCACUUUUAGUGGGGAAGAAAGCCUUGGGGCUAAUACCCUCGAGGAAGGACAUCACCCACAGAAGAAGCACCGGCUAACUCCGUGCCAGCAGCCGCGGUAAUACGGAGGGUGCGAGCGUUAAUCGGAAUUACUGGGCGUAAAGCGCGCGUAGGCGGUCUGAUAAGCCGGUUGUGAAAGCCCCGGGCUCAACCUGGGAACGGCAUCCGGAACUGUCAGGCUAGAGUGCAGGAGAGGAAGGUAGAAUUCCCGGUGUAGCGGUGAAAUGCGUAGAGAUCGGGAGGAAUACCAGUGGCGAAGGCGGCCUUCUGGACUGACACUGACGCUGAGGUGCGAAAGCGUGGGUAGCAAACAGGAUUAGAUACCCGAGUAGUC
Molecule: ribosomal RNA, 465 nt
Filed under: Vreelandella stevensii
Lineage: Bacteria; Pseudomonadati; Pseudomonadota; Gammaproteobacteria; Oceanospirillales; Halomonadaceae
Description: partial 16S ribosomal RNA
Rfam family: Bacterial small subunit ribosomal RNA
Source: RNAcentral